RNAcentral lists this ribosomal RNA (467 nucleotides) under uncultured bacterium. RNAcentral's name for it is "partial 16S ribosomal RNA". It matches the Rfam family "Bacterial small subunit ribosomal RNA", at positions 28 to 507 of the family's 1533-position model. The record is from RNAcentral.
GACGAACGCUGGCGGCGUGCUUAACACAUGCAAGUCGAACGGAAAGGCCCUGCUUUUGUGGGGUGCUCGAGUGGCGAACGGGUGAGUAACACGUGAGUAACCUGCCCUUGACUUUGGGAUAACUUCAGGAAACUGGGGCUAAUACCGGAUAGGAGCUCCUGCUGCAUGGUGGGGGUUGGAAAGUUUCGGCGGUUGGGGAUGGACUCGCGGCUUAUCAGCUUGUUGGUGGGGUAGUGGCUUACCAAGGCUUUGACGGGUAGCCGGCCUGAGAGGGUGACCGGCAACAUGGGGACUGAGAUACGGCCAGACUCCUACGGGAGGCAGCAGUGGGGAAUAUUGCACAAUGGGCGGAAGCCUGAUGCAGCAACGCCGCGUGCGGGAUGACGGCCUUCGGGUUGUAAACCGCUUUCGCCUGUGACGAAGCGUGAGUGACGGUAAUGGGUAAAGAAGCACCGGCUAACUACGUG